This 459-nucleotide ribosomal RNA is filed under the name uncultured bacterium. RNAcentral's name for it is "bacterial SSU rRNA". It matches the Rfam family "Bacterial small subunit ribosomal RNA", at positions 28 to 507 of the family's 1533-position model. The record is from RNAcentral.
GAUGAACGUUGGCGGUGUGCCUAAUACAUGCAAGUCGAACGGAGCUAAUAGCAAUAUUGGCUUAGUGGCGAACGGGUGAGUAACGCGUUGGUGAUCUGCCUUGAAGUGUGGAAUAACGUUCCGAAAGGAUCGCUAAUACCGCAUGUGCUCUCGAUUUUCAGAAAGUUGAGAGUAAAGGAUUUAUUCGCUUCAAGAGGAGCCUGCGUCCCAUCAGCUGGUUGGUAGGGUAACGGCCUACCAAGGCUAUGACGGGUAGGGGACCUGAGAGGGUGGCCCCCCACAAUGGAACUGAAACACGGUCCAUACACCUACGGGUGGCAGCAGUAGGGAAUAUUAGAAAUGGACGAAAGUCUGAUCUAGCAACACCGCGUGUGCGAAGAAGGCCCUUCGGGUCGUAAAGCACUUUUGGAAGGAAUAGGAAGGAAUGUACUUCCAGAAUAAGUCUCGGCUAACUACGUG